GGGUUGUGAGGUUAAGCGACUAAGCGUACACGGUGGAUGCCUUGGCAGUCAGAGGCGAUGAAGGACGUGCUAAUCUGCGAUAAGCGUCGGUAAGGUGAUAUGAACCGUUAUAACCGGCGAUUUCCGAAUGGGGAAACCCAGUGUGAUUCGUCACACUAUCAUUAACUGAAUCCAUAGGUUAAUGAGGCGAACCGGGGGAACUGAAACAUCUAAGUACCCCGAGGAAAAGAAAUCAACCGAGAUUCCCCAGUAGCGGCGAGCGAACGGGGAGCAGCCCAGAGCCUGAAUCAGUGUGUGUGUUAGUGGAAGCGUCUGGAAAGGCGUGCGAUACAGGGUGACAGCCCCGUACACAAAAAUGCACAUACUGUGAGCUCGAUGAGUAGGGCGGGACACGUGGUAUCCUGUCUGAAUAUGGGGGGACCAUCCUCCAAGGCUAAAUACUCCUGACUGACCGAUAGUGAACCAGUACCGUGAGGGAAAGGCGAAAAGAACCCCGGCGAGGGGAGUGAAAAAGAACCUGAAACCGUGUACGUACAAGCAGUGGGAGCACGCUUAGGCGUGUGACUGCGUACCUUUUGUAUAAUGGGUCAGCGACUUAUAUUCUGUAGCAAGGUUAACCGAAUAGGGGAGCCGAAGGGAAACCGAGUCUUAACUGGGCGUUAAGUUGCAGGGUAUAGACCCGAAACCCGGUGAUCUAGCCAUGGGCAGGUUGAAGGUUGGGUAACACUAACUGGAGGACCGAACCGACUAAUGUUGAAAAAUUAGCGGAUGACUUGUGGCUGGGGGUGAAAGGCCAAUCAAACCGGGAGAUAGCUGGUUCUCCCCGAAAGCUAUUUAGGUAGCGCCUCGUGAAUUCAUCUCCGGGGGUAGAGCACUGUUUCGGCAAGGGGGUCAUCCCGACUUACCAACCCGAUGCAAACUGCGAAUACCGGAGAAUGUUAUCACGGGAGACACACGGCGGGUGCUAACGUCCGUCGUGAAGAGGGAAACAACCCAGACCGCCAGCUAAGGUCCCAAAGUCAUGGUUAAGUGGGAAACGAUGUGGGAAGGCCCAGACAGCCAGGAUGUUGGCUUAGAAGCAGCCAUCAUUUAAAGAAAGCGUAAUAGCUCACUGGUCGAGUCGGCCUGCGCGGAAGAUGUAACGGGGCUAAACCAUGCACCGAAGCUGCGGCAGCGACGCUUAUGCGUUGUUGGGUAGGGGAGCGUUCUGUAAGCCUGUGAAGGUGUGCUGUGAGGUAUGCUGGAGGUAUCAGAAGUGCGAAUGCUGACAUAAGUAACGAUAAAGCGGGUGAAAAGCCCGCUCGCCGGAAGACCAAGGGUUCCUGUCCAACGUUAAUCGGGGCAGGGUGAGUCGACCCUAAGGCGAGGCCGAAAGGCGUAGUCGAUGGGAAACAGGUUAAUAUUCCUGUACUUGGUGUUACUGCGAAGGGGGGACGGAGAAGGCUAUGUUGGCCGGGCGACGGUUGUCCCGGUUUAAGCGUGUAGGCUGGUUUUCCAGGCAAAUCCGGAAAAUCAAGGCCGAGGCGUGAUGACGAGGCACUACGGUGCUGAAGCAACAAAUGCCCUGCUUCCAUGAAAAGCCUCUAAGCAUCAGGUAACAUCAAAUCGUACCCCAAACCGACACAGGUGGUCAGGUAGAGAAUACCAAGGCGCUUGAGAGAACUCGGGUGAAGGAACUAGGCAAAAUGGUGCCGUAACUUCGGGAGAAGGCACGCUGAUACGUAGGUGAAGCGACUUGCUCGUGGAGCUGAAAUCAGUCGAAGAUACCAGCUGGCUGCAACUGUUUAUUAAAAACACAGCACUGUGCAAACACGAAAGUGGACGUAUACGGUGUGACGCCUGCCCGGUGCCGGAAGGUUAAUUGAUGGGGUUAGCGCAAGCGAAGCUCUUGAUCGAAGCCCCGGUAAACGGCGGCCGUAACUAUAACGGUCCUAAGGUAGCGAAAUUCCUUGUCGGGUAAGUUCCGACCUGCACGAAUGGCGUAAUGAUGGCUGUGCUGUCUCCACCCGAGACUCAGUGAAAUUGAACUCGCUGUGAAGAUGCAGUGUACCCGCGGCAAGACGGAAAGACCCCGUGAACCUUUACUAUAGCUUGACACUGAACAUUGAGCCUUGAUGUGUAGGAUAGGUGGGAGGCUUUGAAGUGUGGACGCCAGUCUGCAUGGAGCCGACCUUGAAAUACCACCCUUUAAUGUUUGAUGUUCUAACGUGGACCCGUGAUCCGGGUUGCGGACAGUGUCUGGUGGGUAGUUUGACUGGGGCGGUCUCCUCCUAAAGAGUAACGGAGGAGCACGAAGGUUGGCUAAUCUGGUCGGACAUCAGGAGGUUAGUGCAAUGGCAUAAGCCAGCUUGACUGCGAGCGUGACGGCGCGAGCAGGUGCGAAAGCAGGUCAUAGUGAUCCGGUGGUUCUGAAUGGAAGGGCCAUCGCUCAACGGAUAAAAAGGUACUCCGGGGAUAACAGGCUGAUACCGCCCAAGAGUUCAUAUCGACGGCGGUGUUUGGCACCUCGAUGUCGGCUCAUCACAUCCUGGGGCUGAAGUAGGUCCCAAGGGUAUGGCUGUUCGCCAUUUAAAGUGGUACGCGAGCUGGGUUUAGAACGUCGUGAGACAGUUCGGUCCCUAUCUGCCGUGGGCGCUGGAGAACUGAGGGGGGCUGCUCCUAGUACGAGAGGACCGGAGUGGACGCAUCACUGGUGUUCGGGUUGUCAUGCCAAUGGCACUGCCCGGUAGCUAAAUGCGGAAGAGAUAAGUGCUGAAAGCAUCUAAGCACGAAACUUGCCCCGAGAUGAGUUCUCCCUGACCCUUUAAGGGUCCUGAAGGAACGUUGAAGACGACGACGUUGAUAGGCCGGGUGUGUAAGCGCAGCGAUGCGUUGAGCUAACCGGUACUAAUGAACCGUGAGGCUUAACCUUACAACGCCGAAG
Molecule: ribosomal RNA, 2923 nt
Filed under: Shigella flexneri
Lineage: Bacteria; Pseudomonadati; Pseudomonadota; Gammaproteobacteria; Enterobacterales; Enterobacteriaceae
Description: 23S ribosomal RNA
Rfam family: Bacterial large subunit ribosomal RNA
Source: RNAcentral